Non-coding RNA from Lasiosphaeria ovina, 86 nucleotides. Lineage: Eukaryota; Fungi; Ascomycota; Sordariomycetes; Sordariales; Lasiosphaeriaceae. The record is from the annotation of a GenBank genome assembly.
GGGAUAAUAGUAUAGUGGUCAGUACUUCUCGUUGUGGCUGUCACAAAACACCCGAGAGGACCCAGGUUCGAUUCCUGGUUAUCCCA